RNAcentral lists this ribosomal RNA (253 nucleotides) under uncultured bacterium. RNAcentral describes it as "partial 16S ribosomal RNA". It matches the Rfam family "Bacterial small subunit ribosomal RNA", at positions 524 to 776 of the family's 1533-position model. The record is from RNAcentral.
GACAGAGGGGGCAAGCGUUGCUCGGAAUUACUGGGCGUAAAGGGCGCGUAGGCGGAAUGGCAAGUCGGUCGUGAAAUCCUUCGGCUCAACCGAAGAACGUCGAUCGAAACUGCCGUUCUUGAGGAUUGCAGAGGAGACUGGAAUUCCCGGUGUAGCGGUGAAAUGUGUAGAGAUCGGGAGGAACACCGGAGGCGAAAGCGGUCCACUGGGCAACUUCUGACGCUGAGGUGCGAAAGCUAGGGUAGCAAACGGG